Perca fluviatilis (European perch) is the source of this 554-nucleotide long non-coding RNA. RefSeq lists it as uncharacterized. The record is from RefSeq and is a predicted model, not a curated record. NCBI's taxonomy places the organism in Eukaryota, Metazoa, Chordata, Actinopteri, Perciformes, Percidae. The transcript has 2 exons.
CAGGCCUCAGGGUCUGUUAGCGGGGAUGAACCGGUUUCUGGCGUUGUUGGAAAUCACGUUCAGAAGAGACCCGAACAACUUCAGACCACGCAUCAACAAGCACAACUCCAUCAAGGACACAGAGCAGAAGAAGAGUGGAAACUACUUCUUCCUGGACGACUAAAACGACUUCCCGCGGACCAACCGUGACUUUCUGCGACGCUUUUCAGGGGGCUGCGUUCCCACGCGCAGCCCCCCGUGACAUCUACCGACGCAUACAACCGAGCUGCGUUCACAACAAACAGCAGAUAUGUUUAAAGAAACUAUCAUAAAGAGAAAUGUAAAAGAUAAAAAAACAAAAAACAACCCCCAUCAGCCUUUUUAAUGUCCCAGGCUGCUCAUCCAGCAGUGUUGUCAAACGUUUAAAACGAACACAGCGCAUCGCAUUCUCGGUUCAGUUACCCUGAACGCACGGAGCUGCGUUCACAAGCCAGCGACAUUGUGGAACAUUGAACAGCGUAUUUUAACUCAUGCAUUUACAACAAAUGGUAAUAAACUGACGCUACCUGAUCCAA